UGGGGAAUAUUGGACAAUGGGCGAAAGCCUGAUCCAGCAAUGCCGCGUGAGUGAUGAAGGCCUUAGGGUUGUAAAGCUCUUUUUACCAGGGAUGAUAAUGACAGUACCUGGAGAAUAAGCUCCGGCUAACUCCGUGCCAGCAGCCGCGGUAAUACGGAGGGAGCUAGCGUUGUUCGGAAUUACUGGGCGUAAAGCGUACGUAGGCGGUGACUCAAGUCAGAGGUGAAAGCCUGGAGCUCAACUCCAGAACUGCCUUUGAAACUAGGUCGCUAGAAUCACGGAGAGGUGAGUGGAAUUCCGAGUGUAGAGGUGAAAUUCGUAGAUAUUCGGAAGAACACCAGUGGCGAAGGCGGCUCACUGGACGUGUAUUGACGCUGAGGUACGAAAGCGUGGGGAGCAAACAGGAUUAGAUACCCACGUAGUCCCUGAGCGGGCUGGCAAGGCGCAU
Molecule: ribosomal RNA, 448 nt
Filed under: uncultured bacterium
Lineage: Bacteria
Description: bacterial SSU rRNA
Rfam family: Bacterial small subunit ribosomal RNA
Source: RNAcentral